This 457-nucleotide ribosomal RNA is filed under the name Gemella haemolysans. Its description in RNAcentral is "bacterial SSU rRNA". It matches the Rfam family "Bacterial small subunit ribosomal RNA", at positions 28 to 472 of the family's 1533-position model. Lineage: Bacteria; Bacillati; Bacillota; Bacilli; Caryophanales; Gemellaceae. The record is from RNAcentral.
GACGAACGCUGGCGGCGUGCCUAAUACAUGCAAGUCGAGCGAAGUUUUUCUGGUGCUUGCACCGGAAAAACUUAGCGGCGCACGGGUGAGUAACACGUAAAGAACCUGCCUCAUAGACUGGGACAACUAUUGGAAACGAUAGCUAAUACCGGAUAACAGCAUUAACUGCAUGGUUGAUGUUUAAAAGUUGGUUUUGCUAACACUAUGAGAUGGCUUUGCGGUGCAUUAGCUAGUUGGUGGGGUAAAGGCCUACCAAGGCGACGAUGCAUAGCCGACCUGAGAGGGUGAUCGGCCACACUGGGACUGAGACACGGCCCAGACUCCUACGGGAGGCAGCAGUAGGGAAUCUUCCGCAAUGGGCGAAAGCCUGACGGAGCAACGCCGCGUGAGUGAAGAAGGAUUUCGGUUCGUAAAGCUCUGUUGUUAGGGAAGAAUGAUUGUGUAGUAACUAUACACA